Molecule: transfer RNA, 72 nt
Filed under: Marmota monax (woodchuck)
Lineage: Eukaryota; Metazoa; Chordata; Mammalia; Rodentia; Sciuridae
Description: tRNA.Ser
Source: RNAcentral
GUUGUGGCUCAGUGGUAGAGCACUUGCCUAGAACAAUGUUCGUGAGGCACUGGGUUCAAUCCUCAGCACACA